GACAGAGGCCUCAAGCGUUAGGCGGAAUCACUGGGCUUAAAGCGCGUGUAGGCGGGUCGGUAAGUCUGCUCUGAAAGUCCAAGGCUCAACCUUGGGAUGCGGGUGGAUACUGCCGACCUCGAGUCCGGAAGAGGCGAGUGGAAUUCCUGGUGUAGCGGUGAAAUGCGCAGAUAUCAGGAGGAACACCAAUGGCGAAGGCAGCUCGCUGGGACGUGACUGACGCUGAGACGCGAAAGCGUGGGGAGCAAACAGG
Molecule: ribosomal RNA, 253 nt
Filed under: uncultured prokaryote
Description: partial 16S ribosomal RNA
Rfam family: Bacterial small subunit ribosomal RNA
Source: RNAcentral